Molecule: ribosomal RNA, 507 nt
Filed under: uncultured bacterium
Lineage: Bacteria
Description: partial 16S ribosomal RNA
Source: RNAcentral
GGAGUUAGCCGGUGCUUCUUCUGUGAGUGAUGUCCUUCCUGCCGGUUAUUGACCCGCAGGCCUUCUUCCUCACUGAAAGUGCUUUACAACCCGAAGGCCUUCUUCACACACGCGGCAUGGCUGGAUCAGGGUUGCCCCCAUUGUCCAAUAUUCCCCACUGCUGCCUCCCGUAGGAGUCUGGGCCGUGUCUCAGUCCCAGUGUGGCUGAUCAUCCUCUCAGACCAGCUACGGAUCGUCGCCUUGGUGAGCCGUUACCUCACCAACCAGCUAAUCCGACAUAGGCUCAUCCGAUAGCGCGAGGCCCGAAGGUCCCCCGCUUUCCCCCGUAGGGCGUAUGCGGUAUUAGCCUGGGUUUCCCCAGGUUAUCCCCCACUACCGGGCAGAUUCCUAUGCAUUACUCACCCGUCCGACGCUCGCCACCAGGGAGCAAGCUCCCCGUGCUGCCGCUCGACUUGCAUGUGUUAGGCCUGCCGCCAGCGUUCAAUCUGAGCCAUGAUCAAACUCUGA